This is a long non-coding RNA of Oenanthe melanoleuca, 538 nucleotides long. RefSeq lists it as uncharacterized. The transcript is spliced from 3 exons. The record is from RefSeq and is a predicted model, not a curated record. Lineage: Eukaryota; Metazoa; Chordata; Aves; Passeriformes; Muscicapidae.
GUGGGGCAGGGCUGCUCCCAGCUCCAGACCAGCCUGGGCACAGCUCCGGAUGACAGUUCCCAAAAGAAGAAUGUGAGCAUUCAUAACAAAACUGGAGCAAAGAAGCCCUUAGACCUUCUCCAAGGGUUGACUCAAGGGUAUCUAACAGGCACAACUGACUCUCCUAAUGGAUGUUCCUGUUAAAUAUCCUAGUUAAUCAACCCUAAUAGAUGGUUGGAAUUGGGGGCUGGAUGUGCCCCAUCCCCACUGGGACACCUGGAAGCUUCCAAUAAAGGUCCCCAUGUUUGGCCAGAGCAAAUGUCCAACAGCAGCUCCAUCAGCCACUUCCUCCUGCUGCCAUUGGCAGACACGCGGCAGCUGCAGCUCCUGCACUUCUGCCUCUUCCUGGGCAUCUCCCUGGCUGCCCUCCUGGGCAAUGGCCUCAUCAUCAGCGCCGUAGCCUGCGGCCACCACCUGCACACCCCCAUGUUCUUCUUCCUGCUCAACCUGGCCCUCACUGACCUGGGCUGCAUCUGCACCACUGUCCCCAAAGCCAUGC